Molecule: long non-coding RNA, 814 nt
Organism: Phascolarctos cinereus (koala)
Lineage: Eukaryota; Metazoa; Chordata; Mammalia; Diprotodontia; Phascolarctidae
Source: RefSeq, a predicted model, not a curated record
GAUUCCAGUGCAGGUGCUAUUGGGCACAGCCCUGGAAAAGCACUUCCAGUUACAGGAAGUUACGUAGAAUUGGGUUACCAACUCUCUGGAGAGCCCAAACAGAGCAGCUGAUACACGAUAACAGAUUCACUAUUUGAUGGGCGUUUUGACCUGAACCUUCAGAAAACUGUGACUGGGCACAGGGUGUGUCUUCCUUCUCGUGGGCCUGACUGACAGGACAUUAUUUGGACCUCCCCUAGCAAAGGUUAAAAAAAAAGUAGAAAAGUGUAGAAAAGUUAGAAAAGCAAAUGAAAGCCUUUCAUUGAAUUGCUUGGGGACGCACAUUAGAGGGAAGACAUUGACAGGGAAACACCCUAUGCUGGGCAUCAUGUCCUGGUUCUUCAGACACUGCACCACCAUUUUAGCUGGCUCAGGACUCCUUUGGAUUUUCAUCAGCUUGGGAACCCCCAACAUAAUGAAAACAUUUAUUUUCUGGUGAAAUCAGAAGCCAACUAGCUCUGCCCUGAUCUCAGUCUAGGAAUAGAGCAAUGUGGAAUUGGGCCUGAUAUGAAUAGGCCCAAUCAUCAACCAAAUCUGAGCUUACCUCCUCCCUUUAUCUCUCCUAGAAGAUAAUUGGACAGUAGCCCAUAGCCCUGAAAUAUUUAUUUUGUACUUUUCUUGAGGUGGGGGAGGAAACAACUGUGGUCUGAGCCCUGAAUACUCUGUCCAACGGUUUGGCAUCCUGGGAACAUUUCUACCUUGGUAACUCUUUGGUCACCAAUCCACACUACUUUUCCCCCUGGAAAUCUUAGAACACGAUGACAAUCAUAAUAAU